AUUCCAGCUCCAAUAGCGUAUAUUAAAGUUGUUGCAGUUAAAAAGCUCGUAGUUGGAUUUCUGUUCUCGAGGAUCGGUCCGCCUCACGGUGAGCACUGGUUUUUCUUGGGGACAUCCUCUCGAAGGCGGGUGGUGCACUUAAUUGUGUGCUGCUUGGAUUCGGGACCUUUACUUUGAAAAAAUUAGAGUGUUCAAAGCAGGCGUCGGCUUGAAUACAUUAGCAUGGAAUAAUGGAAUAGGACUUUGGUUCUAUUUUGUUGGUUUCUAGGACCGAAGUAAUGAUUAAUAGGGACAGUUGGGGGUAUUCAUAUUUACAUGUCAGAGGUGAAAUUCUUGGAUUUUGGAAAGAUGAACUACUGCGAAGGCAUUUACCAAGGAUGUUUUCAUCA
RNAcentral lists this ribosomal RNA (389 nucleotides) under Choanoflagellata sp. RNAcentral describes it as "partial small subunit ribosomal RNA". It matches the Rfam family "Eukaryotic small subunit ribosomal RNA", at positions 582 to 975 of the family's 1831-position model. Lineage: Eukaryota; Choanoflagellata. The record is from RNAcentral.